GCUAAAACAGUAUUAAAGGUCCAACCUGCCCAGUGACAUAAAUUUAAACGGCCGCGGUAUCCUAACCGUGCAAAGGUAGCGUAAUCACUUGUCCUUUAAAUAAGGACUAGUAUGAACGGUUAAAUGAGGGUAAACCUGUCUCUUGAGGGUUAUCAGUGAAACUGAACUUCCAGUUAAAAUGCUGGAAUUCAUUUAUAAGACGAGAAGACCCUGUGGAGCUUUAAACUGCCUUCAAACAAUAAAUUGAAUUAAAGUUUUUAGUUGGGGCGACUUCGGAACAAAAAAAAACUUCCGAUUAAACCAGAGCACCACUCAAGAAAGCGGCCUACAAGCCAAUAACAACAAAUAUUGACCCGGACCCACCCGAAAAACGAACCAAGUUACCCCAGGGAUAACAGCGCUAUCUUCUUUAAGAGUCCAUAUCAACAAGAAGGCUUACGACCUCGAUGUUGGAUCAGGACACCCAAAUGGUGCAGCCGCUAUUAAUGGUUCGUUUGUUCAACGAUUAACAGUCCUACGUGAUCUGAGUUCAGACCGGAGC
This 541-nucleotide ribosomal RNA is filed under the name Platysaurus minor. Its description in RNAcentral is "partial 16S ribosomal RNA". It matches the Rfam family "Bacterial large subunit ribosomal RNA", at positions 1825 to 2622 of the family's 2925-position model. The record is from RNAcentral. Lineage: Eukaryota; Metazoa; Chordata; Lepidosauria; Squamata; Cordylidae.